Molecule: ribosomal RNA, 253 nt
Filed under: uncultured bacterium
Lineage: Bacteria
Description: partial 16S ribosomal RNA
Rfam family: Bacterial small subunit ribosomal RNA
Source: RNAcentral
UACGUAGGGACCAAGCGUUGUUCGGAUUUACUGGGCGUAAAGGGCGCGUAGGCGGCUUAACAAGUCACUUGUGAAAUCUCCGGGCUUAACUCGGAACGGCCAAGUGAAACUGUCAAGCUAGAGUGCAGAAGGGGAAAUCGGAAUUCUUGGUGUAGCGGUGAAAUGCGUAGAUAUCAAGAGGAACACCUGAGGUGAAGACGGGUUGCUGGGCUGACACUGACGCUGAGGCGCGAAAGCCAGGGGAGCAAACGGG